Molecule: ribosomal RNA, 955 nt
Filed under: Aliarcobacter butzleri
Lineage: Bacteria; Pseudomonadati; Campylobacterota; Epsilonproteobacteria; Campylobacterales; Arcobacteraceae
Description: partial 23S ribosomal RNA
Rfam family: Bacterial large subunit ribosomal RNA
Source: RNAcentral
AAAAGCCACUAAGUUUAUUAUAUGUUGCCCGUACCGUAAACCGACACAGGUGGGUGGGAUGAGUAUUCUAAGGCGCGUGGAAGAACCCUGGUUAAGGAACUCUGCAAACUAGCACCGUAUCUUCGGUAUAAGGUGUGCCUACUUUUGUAUAUGAACUUGCUUCAAAAAGCGAAAGAGGUUGCAACAAAGAGUCCCUCCCGACUGUUUACCAAAAACACAGCACUUUGCUAACACGUAAGUGGAUGUAUAAGGUGUGACGCCUGCCCGGUGCUCGAAGGUUAACUGAUGAUGUCAGCGCAAGCGAAGCAUUUGAUUGAAGCCCGAGUAAACGGCGGCCGUAACUAUAACGGUCCUAAGGUAGCGAAAUUCCUUGUCGGUUAAAUACCGACCUGCAUGAAUGGCGUAACGAGAUGGGAGCUGUCUCAACCAGGGAUCCAGUGAAAUUGUAGUGGAGGUGAAAAUUCCUCCUACCCGCGGAAAGACGGAAAGACCCCGUGCACCUUUACUACAGCUUGACACUGUAGCUUGGAUAUUCAUGUGCAGGAUAGGUGGGAGGCUAUGAUGACUAGACGCCAGUAGAGUCGGAGCCAUCCUUGAGAUACCACCCUUGAAUAUUUGAGUUACUAACUGCGUACAAUUAUCUUGUAUCAGGACAAUGUCUGGUGGGUAGUUUGACUGGGGCGGUCGCCUCCUAAAAAGUAACGGAGGCUUACAAAGGUUAGUUCAAAGCGGAUGGAAAUCGCUUGUUGAGUAUAAUGGCAUAAACUAGCUUGACUGUGAGACAUACAAGUCGAACAGAGACGAAAGUCGGUCAUAGUGAUCCGGUGGUUCUGUGUGGAAGGGCCAUCGCUCAAAGGAUAAAAGGUACGCCGGGGAUAACAGGCUGAUCUCCCCCAAGAGCUCACAUCGACGGGGAGGUUUGGCACCUCGAUGUCGGCUCAUCGCAUCCUGGGGC